Molecule: transfer RNA, 70 nt
Filed under: marine eukaryotic metagenome
Rfam family: tRNA
About the family: Transfer RNA (tRNA) molecules are approximately 80 nucleotides in length.
Source: RNAcentral
GCGGAGUAGCUCAGUUGGUUAGAGCAGCGGAAUCAUAAUCCGCGUGUCGGGGGUUCGAAUCCCUUCUCCG